This 556-nucleotide small RNA is filed under the name Pongo abelii (Sumatran orangutan). Its description in RNAcentral is "processed transcript". The record is from RNAcentral. Lineage: Eukaryota; Metazoa; Chordata; Mammalia; Primates; Hominidae.
GUGUGUAUGUGCGGGCGAGAAGAUGGCGGCGGCGGGGGAAGCAGCGUGAGCAGCCGGAGGAGCGCCGAGUCCCAUUGAAACGGGCAGCCAUGGCCCUCCACAGCCCGCAGAUUUUGGUGGCUGGACGUUAGGAGUAUAGAGCUGAAGAGAGAAUUCCUGUGCUUUAGAGGUUCGCUGGGUAGCGAGGGAGAGAAACAGGCUAAUGGCUGGGUGCAUCCAAUUUUAGGGUGGUUAUUCCUGUAACAGAAGUGUGAACAACAUAGUCAAGAACAUUCAUUCAUUCGUUUGUUCAUUCAUUCAGCAAAUAGUUACAGAGUGGCUGCUGUGUACCAGGCACUGAGGAGGGAGUGAUGCGCGAAAACAGGCAUUGUUUCUCUCACGGAGUUUAUGGGUCCUGAGGAAGACAGCUUGCUAAUCAGAUAAUCACAGUUACGUACAUGUCGCUCCAAACUGAGAGAUGUUUCCCAAAGGAAGGGAACACAAUCUGAAGUCAGAGAACGGUUCCCGUGGAAGUGACACGUUUAUAGCAUGAGACAGUGGGGACAGCAUGUGCGGU